This 1689-nucleotide long non-coding RNA is filed under the name Equus asinus (donkey). RNAcentral's name for it is "lncRNA (ENSEASG00005037987.1)". Lineage: Eukaryota; Metazoa; Chordata; Mammalia; Perissodactyla; Equidae. The record is from RNAcentral.
CUGGGUUUGGUACUUGCAAGCCCGUUUUCUGUUUUUUUGUUUUGUUUUUUUUUUCAAUAGGAAGAUAAGUGAUUGCUUUUGAGCAAGGCAGGUAUUAACACAUUCAGAGAGGACAUUUUUUCCCGCGUAUGGAACUAGAAAACUUGGCGAGAUUUUGUUCUGGAGUUUGUGUUAAGUUUUUGCACCAUCAGUUCUCCAAACCUCAAGUCACAGUGAGGAGAGAAAUACAACUAAAGAGAGAUGGGGAUUUGGAGGACUGGUGUAGGGAACAGGCAGACGUGGAUGGUGGAGGGACGCAGCCUUACGGAGAGGUUCUUUCUUCCCAAAUAGCUUAGUUUCUUUUUCUAAUCAAUGAAGGAAGUUAUUGGCCUUGAUAUUAUGUUUCCUCUUUCCUCCCUCUGUGUCAAGAGACACUGAAGAAUGUUCUGGAAUUAUUGAAAACUUUAGAGCGUAUUGUUUGAUUAUUCUUCCUGAAGUUCAGUUUUACCCUAGUCCAGGGACUAGCAGAGAUUUAUGGGCCCUGGGUGCUAGAGGCAGGUCACAUAAAGACUUCUAUCCUGCUCCCACCUUCCCCUCCUUCCUCUUGCCCUCCUUUCUUUCUAUCAAUUAAAAUUUGUGUUCCUUUCAUAUGUACCUAGUCCUUUGCUGGCCAUGUGGAACAUAAAAUGAAAGAGAUGCUCUUUGAUUUAAAAAAAUUACAGCCUGGAAGGGAAAAAUAACCUGCCAGUGUAAAAUUCUCCUGGAAUCCACGUCACAUCAGAGGGACUUGGAACUAUUCUGUCUGCAUUGUUUAUCACGCACUGAUUGUUAGCAUUGAUUAGACCAUAGAAUUGGUCUUUCUCCAACUGUCAGCCCCAGGAUCCUCACAAGCUGGGUUGCACGUGAAGCAAAAUGUCCUGCCCAACUAGAAGAAGACAACCGUUCCAUCUAGGGUAUAGCACUGCGUUAUCCAUAUUGAAUUUGAUUUUGUUUUACCUCAUUCUUAUUUAUGUUUAAUUCAUAAAUUUAUGACCUUCUACCAUGGCUAAUGUUUUAUCAUGUUAUUCAUAUUAAUGUACUUUCUUAUGUUUUAUUUAAGCUUUUUGUUACUCUUAUAAAAAGGCAAUUAUGCUGGAUUUUCUAAUGUAAUUUGUUUCAAUUCCAAAUCCUUUGUAGCUCUUGAAAACAUAAGCAAAGAGGCUCUAAACCUAACAUAUGCAACCAAAUGAUGCCUACAAUUUGCCAAAAUUAAUACAUCAUCAUGCUGGAAUUUGGCUGCUGUAGCCAAGAACUUUACUCUCUUUUUAUAACAUAAUUUCCUUUUAUGGUUCCAUGUUUACUCUCUGAUUUUUUUCUUAAAUCAUCCAAGUAGGUUCUUUUUAAUUGUCAGAAAAAAGGAUUUAAUUCUUCCUCUAAUUGAGCUUAAGAUUUUGCUAUAAAUUUGACAUAUUGCUUUCUAAAUAGGAAUUUACUUGGUUAGCUCAGUUAUAUUUUGUGUAUUAUAGGACAGGUGUUCCCAUGAUUACUGGUACAGAGAAGAAAAUCUGUACCCAAAAGAUAAAUUAUUUAAUUUGUUCUCGUAUUUUUUAGUGGAAUCUUAGCAAAAUUUUGUUUCGUGAAACCCAUCAUAUGAUAUUUACUUAUCCCUCACUCUAAAAAGUUCCUAAAAUUUUGAAUGCAAAAGACCUAUCACAUUUGCAUUGUCUAAAC